AUUUAGCCCCGAUAGUAGUGAAAAUCCCACGUUUUUUUUGCGUGGAUUGUAACGGAUAGCGGGAAUAUUG
RNAcentral lists this small RNA (70 nucleotides) under Flavobacterium swingsii. RNAcentral describes it as "Flavo-1 RNA". It matches the Rfam family "Flavo-1 RNA". The record is from RNAcentral. Lineage: Bacteria; Pseudomonadati; Bacteroidota; Flavobacteriia; Flavobacteriales; Flavobacteriaceae.